RNAcentral lists this ribosomal RNA (253 nucleotides) under uncultured bacterium. RNAcentral's name for it is "partial 16S ribosomal RNA". It matches the Rfam family "Bacterial small subunit ribosomal RNA", at positions 524 to 776 of the family's 1533-position model. The record is from RNAcentral.
UACAGAGGGGGCAAGCGUUGUUCGGAAUUACUGGGCGUAAAGGGCGCGUAGGCGGCCUUCUAAGUCGGACGUGAAAUCCCUGGGCUCAACCCAGGAACUGCGUCCGAUACUGGAAGGCUUGAGUCCGGGAGAGGGAUGCGGAAUUCCAGGUGUAGCGGUGAAAUGCGUAGAUAUCGUGAGGAACACCAGUGGCGAAGGCGGGUCUCUGGACAGUUCCUGACGCUGAGGCACGAAGGUCAGGGGAGCAAACGGG